Molecule: ribosomal RNA, 379 nt
Filed under: uncultured bacterium
Lineage: Bacteria
Description: bacterial SSU rRNA
Rfam family: Bacterial small subunit ribosomal RNA
Source: RNAcentral
AUACGUAGGGAGCCAGCGUUGUCCGGAUUUACUGGGCGUAAAGAGCGCGUAGGCGGUUUAGUAAGCGGAGGGUGAAAUACCGGGGCUCAACUCCGGUGCUGCUUUCCGAACUGCUAGACUAGAGUACGGGAGAGGACAGUGGAAUUCCUGGUGUAGCGGUGGAAUGCGUAAAUAUCAGGAGGAACACCCGUGGCGAAGGCUGCUGUCUGGAACGUUACUGACGCUGAGGCGCGAAAGCUAGGGGAGCGAACGGGAUUAGAUACCCCGGUAGUCCUAGCUGUAAACGAUGGACACUAGGUGUUGGAGGCAUCGACCCCUUCAGUGCUGUUCUGCUAACGCGUUAAGUGUCCCGCCUGGGGAGUACGGCCGCAAGGUUGAA